Molecule: ribosomal RNA, 469 nt
Filed under: uncultured bacterium
Lineage: Bacteria
Description: bacterial SSU rRNA
Rfam family: Bacterial small subunit ribosomal RNA
Source: RNAcentral
GGGCCAGACUCCUAAGGGAGGCAGCAGUGAGGAAUAUUGGUCAAUGGACGAGAGUCUGAACCAGCCAAGUAGCGUGAAGGAUGACUGCCCUAUGGGUUGUAAACUUCUUUUAUAUGGGAAUAAAAUGUUCCACGUGUGGGAUUUUGUAUGUACCAUAUGAAUAAGGAUCGGCUAACUCCGUGCCAGCAGCCGCGGUAAUACGGAGGAUCCGAGCGUUAUCCGGAUUUAUUGGGUUUAAAGGGAGCGUAGGUGGAUUGUUAAGUCAGUUGUGAAAGUUUGCGGCUCAACCGUAAAAUUGCAGUUGAAACUGGCAGUCUUGAGUACAGUAGAGGUGGGCGGAAUUCGUGGUGUAGCGGUGAAAUGCAUAGAUAUCGCGCAGAACGCCGAUUGCGAAGGCAGCUUACCGGCGCUCAACUGACGCUGAGGCACGAAAGUGCGGGUAUCGAACAGGAUUAGAUACCCCAGUAAG